Molecule: ribosomal RNA, 253 nt
Filed under: uncultured bacterium
Lineage: Bacteria
Description: partial 16S ribosomal RNA
Rfam family: Bacterial small subunit ribosomal RNA
Source: RNAcentral
UACGUAGGGGGCAAGCGUUGUCCGGAAUCAUUGGGCGUAAAGCGCGCGUAGGCGGCCCGGUAAGUCCGCUGUAAAAGUCCAGGGCUCAACCCUGGAAAGCCGGUGGAUACUGUCGGGCUAGAGUCCGGAAGAGGCGAGUGGAAUUCCUGGUGUAGCGGUGGAAUGCGCAGAUAUCAGGAGGAACACCAAUAGCGAAGGCAGCUCGCUGGGACGUUACUGACACUAAGGCGCGAAAGCGUGGGGAGCGAACAGG